UUCUCCAUAUAUUCACUGAAGCUAAGUAAAUUUGUGAAGGAACUCUGUCUGUCUGUUACCAGUCCUACAGGUCUGAGCUUGAGGCUCUGAGUCGUAGUGGGAGAGUUUCCACGGUUAGAGGUGACCGUGUUGAGUGUUGGUCUGGGAAGUCUGCCCCGGUGAAGAAGACCACAGUUGUCGUGACAUAUACACCUUCUCUAGACUCCCGAGCUGAAAAGGGCUAAAGCCUGACGUCCACCUCUUCGAGGGUCUGGACUGGAAGGGCCCCAACGACGGUUCUCCUGCAGGAAAAACACAAAGGCAUUACUGAGAAAAACCCUGUUGAGUCACGUGAAGGAAAGGACACAAAUUACCUACAGGCUUAACUGAGAGUCCCCGUGACAGAGUCAGAAGCGACUCGGACCUAUACUCUCUGGCCCCGAGAUUGGAUUUUAGAUCACCUUUACACCUUUAAAUUUAAAUAAAGUUGUUUUAAUUAUA
Carassius auratus (goldfish) is the source of this 480-nucleotide long non-coding RNA. RefSeq lists it as uncharacterized. The record is from RefSeq and is a predicted model, not a curated record. Lineage: Eukaryota; Metazoa; Chordata; Actinopteri; Cypriniformes; Cyprinidae. The transcript has 2 exons.